Molecule: microRNA precursor, 84 nt
Filed under: Callithrix jacchus (white-tufted-ear marmoset)
Lineage: Eukaryota; Metazoa; Chordata; Mammalia; Primates; Cebidae
Description: microRNA cja-mir-9936 precursor (cja-mir-9936-2)
Source: miRBase by way of RNAcentral
GGUGCUUAAGCCACAGAAACUGUAAGCAAGUGACACUCAUCCAGGGAGAAGUCACUUGCUUACAGUUUCUGUGGCUUAGCCAUC